This 121-nucleotide ribosomal RNA is filed under the name uncultured Wolbachia sp. RNAcentral's name for it is "partial 16S ribosomal RNA". It matches the Rfam family "Bacterial small subunit ribosomal RNA", at positions 1251 to 1371 of the family's 1533-position model. Lineage: Bacteria; Pseudomonadati; Pseudomonadota; Alphaproteobacteria; Rickettsiales; Anaplasmataceae. The record is from RNAcentral.
AAAGUCGGGAGGUUAAGCUAAUCCCUUAAAAGCCAUCUCAGUUCGGAUUGUACUCUGCAACUCGAGUGCAUGAAGUUGGAAUCGCUAGUAAUCGUGGAUCAGCACGCCACGGUGAAUACGU